Molecule: long non-coding RNA, 581 nt
Filed under: Salmo salar (Atlantic salmon)
Lineage: Eukaryota; Metazoa; Chordata; Actinopteri; Salmoniformes; Salmonidae
Description: lncRNA (ENSSSAG00000113601.1)
Source: RNAcentral
GUGUGUGUGUUUGGUGUGUGUGUGUGUGUGUUAUCGGUGUGUGUGUGUGUGUUGUCGGUGUGUGUGUGUGUGUGUUGUCAGUGUGUGUGUGUGUGUGUGUUGUCGUGUGUGUGUGUGUGUGUGUGUGUGUGUGUGUGUGUGUGUGUGUGUGUGUGUCGGUGUGUGUGUGUGUGUUGUCGGUGUGUGUGUGUGUGUGUUGUCGUUGUGUGUGUGUGUUGUCGGUGUGUGUGUGUGUGUUGUCGGUGUGUGUGUGUGUGUUGUCGGUGUGUGUGUGUGUGUGUGUGUGUGUGUGUGUGUGUGUGUGUGUUGUCGUGUGUGUGUGUGUGUGUGUGUGUGUGUGUGUGUGUGUGUGUGUGUGUGUGUGUGUUGUCGGUGUGUGUGUGUGUGUUGUGUGUGUGUGUGUGUGUGUGUGUGUGUGUUCGGUGUGUGUGUGUGUGUGUGUUGUGUGUGUGUGUGUGUGUGUUGUCUGUGUGUGUGUGUGUGUGUUGUCGUGUGUGUGUGUGUGUGUGUGUGUGUUGUGUGUGUGUGUGUGUGUGUGUGUGUGUGUGUGUGUGUUGUCGGUGUGUGUGUGUGUGUGUGUG